RNAcentral lists this ribosomal RNA (366 nucleotides) under uncultured bacterium. RNAcentral describes it as "bacterial SSU rRNA". It matches the Rfam family "Bacterial small subunit ribosomal RNA", at positions 28 to 417 of the family's 1533-position model. The record is from RNAcentral.
GACGAACGCUGGCGGCGUGCCUAAUGCAUGCAAGUCGAACGCACUGCCUUCGGGCAGUGAGUGGCGCACGGCUGAGGAACACGUGGGAAUCUGCCCGACCGUGGGGGAUAACACGCCGAAAGGCGUGCUAAGCCCGCAUACGCUCGCAAGAGGAAAGCGGCAACGCGCGGUCGGAGGAGCCUGCGGCCCAUCAGGUAGUCGGCGGGGUAACGGCCCACCGAGCCGGUGACGGGUAGCUGGUCUGUGAGGACAGACAGCCAGACUGGGACUGAGACACGGCCCAGACUCCUACGGGAGGCAGCAGCAAGGAAUUUCGGCAAUGGGCGCAAGCCUGACCGAGCAACGCCGCGUGGAGGACGACGGCCU